Long non-coding RNA from Bos taurus (domestic cattle), 297 nucleotides. The record is from Ensembl. Lineage: Eukaryota; Metazoa; Chordata; Mammalia; Artiodactyla; Bovidae.
AGAGUAACUCUCCUCUGUAAGGCAGUGAGGUUCAAAAUACAGUUCGAGAACUGUCCCCAUGUCAGGUUCGUAUCAGGGAAGUAGAAAAAUGAUCCACUGACUUGAAAACCUCUGGACGUUGCCAGGAUUCUGCCUUUAUAACAGGCUCACCAAGCAUCUUUUCCUGAGGAGAGAUGUCAACAUAGCGAGCUCUGAGGAUGCAGGAUGGCGACCCAGCUGAUGCAGAAUGGUGACCCAGCUGACCAAGGGGCACUGUCCUCCACCGGCUCACUGUGAUGGCGGGGGGGGGGGGGGGGG